Molecule: transfer RNA, 65 nt
Filed under: Sipalinus gigas
Lineage: Eukaryota; Metazoa; Arthropoda; Insecta; Coleoptera; Curculionidae
Description: tRNA-Thr
Source: RNAcentral
UUUAGUAAUUUAACUUAAAAUACUGGUCUUGUAAAUCAGAAUUAAGAGAUCCCUCUUUUAAAGCU